GGGGCGGGGGAAACCUGUUCGCGCAGCUUUGAGAGAUGCCCGCCGGCAAGGUGUCCCGUUUCGUGGGCGAGCACGCCGAUGAUCUGGUUGGGUGUUUCAGAUUCUCGCAAUGCCCCGUAGUUCACGAAAAUGCGGCGUCCGUCCGCGACGAAGGCGUUGAACGUCGGAUCGUUGAUGAUGACGACCUGAAUGUUCUGCUUCUCGAGACCGGCGACCCGCAGGAUC
RNAcentral lists this unclassified non-coding RNA (225 nucleotides) under Hevea brasiliensis (rubber tree). Lineage: Eukaryota; Viridiplantae; Streptophyta; Magnoliopsida; Malpighiales; Euphorbiaceae. The record is from RNAcentral.